GACGAACGCUGGCGGCGUGCCUAAUACAUGCAAGUAGAACGCUGAAGGAGGAGCUUGCUUCUCUGGAUGAGUUGCGAACGGGUGAGUAACGCGUAGGUAACCUGCCUGGUAGCGGGGGAUAACUAUUGGAAACGAUAGCUAAUACCGCAUAAGAGUAGAUGUUGCAUGACAUUUGCUUAAAAGGUGCAAUUGCAUCACUACCAGAUGGACCUGCGUUGUAUUAGCUAGUUGGUGGGGUAACGGCUCACCAAGGCGACGAUACAUAGCCGACCUGAGAGGGUGAUCGGCCAAAAUGGGACUGAGACACGGCCCAGACUCCUACGGGAGGCAGCAGUAGGGAAUCUUCGGCAAUGGACGGAAGUCUGACCGAGCAACGCCGCGGGAGGGAAGAAGGUUUUCGGAUCGUAAAGCUCGGUUGUAAGAGAAGAACGAGUGUGAGAGUGGAAAGUUCACACUGUGACGGUAUCUGACCAGAAAGGGACGGCUAACUACGUG
This 495-nucleotide ribosomal RNA is filed under the name uncultured bacterium. RNAcentral's name for it is "partial 16S ribosomal RNA". It matches the Rfam family "Bacterial small subunit ribosomal RNA", at positions 28 to 507 of the family's 1533-position model. The record is from RNAcentral.